Long non-coding RNA from Neofelis nebulosa (Clouded leopard), 817 nucleotides. RefSeq lists it as uncharacterized. The transcript has 3 exons. The record is from RefSeq and is a predicted model, not a curated record. Lineage: Eukaryota; Metazoa; Chordata; Mammalia; Carnivora; Felidae.
GGUACCUAGUUUGACUUGACAACUUUUUCCAUCAGCCUCAGCUCCAUCCCAGUCGGGUCCUGUGGAUGUCCGCAGAAUACAAAUUAGCCGGCUUUGUCCGCUAUCCCUAGAGCAUCUGCCCUCAGCUGGGCGCAGGUCUCCGCUUUCCACGUACCACACACACUGCCUCAUGAAGACUCCAGACUCCUCCUCUCCCCUCCGACCCACUGAGCAGCUGGGGGGCAGCGCACAGGCUCCUGGGCCUCACCCCACCCCCACCCGAGGGCCCUGCCGCAGUGAGCAGAGUGCUGCUUGAUGACAAGAUGAAGCUGUCUGCUCACCUGCAGAGGCCCCCUCUGAGGAGCAGCAGCAAAGGGAGCUUACCGGGAAGGUGGCACACCACCGGGAUACCCAGUUUCCUGAGGUCGUCUGCGUUGCCGACACCCGAGAGCAUGAGCAGCUGUGGAGAGUUGAUGGCGCCCCCGCUCAGAAUCACCUCCUUGCUGGCGUAAGCCUGGAAGAGGCAGAGGCACGCAGGUCACGCUUCCUGAAAAGCGAGACAGAACCCGAGAGCGUGGCCUUGGUGUGAUGUCCCCGAGUGGUGGGUGGGGAUUCCGUUCCCAGGCCCGAGUAAGGAAGGGGAUGCUCAGCGGGCCGCUCUAUGAAGGGCGCUCCACACAUGCAGCUCCCGGGUGCGGGUGCGACACUGAAGCGCGCUUCACAUGCUGAUAUGUUCUGCAACAGUCACGCUGUAACGAUGGUCUUAAAAACGGGACUGUAGAGCCCCAGACACUCCAACAAGCAGCUUCAAUAAAGCAAGCAGUGAGUCAGAUCUUCA